Molecule: ribosomal RNA, 460 nt
Filed under: uncultured bacterium
Lineage: Bacteria
Description: partial 16S ribosomal RNA
Rfam family: Bacterial small subunit ribosomal RNA
Source: RNAcentral
CCUACGGGAGGCUGCAGUGAGGAAUAUUGGUCAAUGGGCGCAAGCCUGAACCAGCCAAGUCGCGUGAGGGAUGACGGUCCUAUGGAUUGUAAACCUCUUUUGUCGGGGAGCAAGGCCCGCCACGUGUGGCGGGAAGGAGAGUACCCGAAGAAAAAGCAUCGGCUAACUCCGUGCCAGCAGCCGCGGUAAUACGGAGGAUGCGAGCGUUAUCCGGAUUUAUUGGGUUUAAAGGGUGCGUAGGCGGAAGGUUAAGUCAGCGGUAAAAUGUCGGUGCUCAACACCGGCCUGCCGUUGAAACUGGUCUUCUUGAGUGAGCGAGAAGUAGGCGGAAUGCGUGGUGUAGCGGUGAAAUGCAUAGAGAUCACGCAGAACUCCGAUUGCGAAGGCAGCAUACCGGCGCUCAACUGACGCUGAGGCACGAAAGCGUGGGGAUCGAACAGGAUUAGAUACCCCAGUAGUC